This 389-nucleotide ribosomal RNA is filed under the name uncultured bacterium. RNAcentral describes it as "bacterial SSU rRNA". It matches the Rfam family "Bacterial small subunit ribosomal RNA", at positions 30 to 414 of the family's 1533-position model. The record is from RNAcentral.
AGUGAACGCUGGCGGCAGGCCUAAUACAUGCAAGUCGAACGGCAGCACAGCAGAGCUUGCUCUGUGGGUGGCGAGUGGCGGACGGGUGAGGAAUACAUGGGAAUCUGCCCAGUCGUGGGGGAUAACGUAUGGAAACGUACGCUAAUACCGCAUGCGCCCUACGGGGAAAGCCGGGGACCGCAAGGCCUGGCGCGAUUGGAUGAGCCCAUGUUCGAUUAGCUAGUUGGCGGGGUAAAGGCCCACCAAGGCGACGAUCGAUAGCUGGUCUGAGAGGAUGAUCAGCCACACUGGAACUGAGACACGGUCCAGACUCCUACGGGAGGCAGCAGUAGGGAAUAUUGGACAAUGGGGGCAACCCUGAUCCAGCCAUGCCGCGUGAGUGAAGAAGG